AUUGAACGCUGGCGGCAGGCCUAACACAUGCAAGUCGAACGGCAGCACAGAAGAGCUUGCUCUUCGGGUGGCGAGUGGCGGACGGGUGAGUAAUGUCUGGGAAACUGCCCGGUGGAGGGGGAUAACUACUGGAAACGGUAGCUAAUACCGCAUAACGUCGCGAGACCAAAGUGGGGGACCUUCGGGCCUCACACCAUCGGAUGUGCCCAGAUGGGAUUAGCUAGUAGGUGGGGUAACGGCUCACCUAGGCGACGAUCCCUAGCUGGUCUGAGAGGAUGACCAGCCACACUGGAACUGAGACACGGUCCAGACUCCUACGGGAGGCAGCAGUGGGGAAUAUUGCACAAAGGGCGCAAGCCUGAUGCAGCCAUGCCGCGUGUAUGAAGAAGGCCUUCGGGUUGUAAAGUACUUUCAGCGGGGAGGAAGGCGAUGUGGUUAAUAACCGCGUCGAUUGACGUUACCCGCAGAAGAAGCACCGGCUAACUCCGUG
Molecule: ribosomal RNA, 490 nt
Filed under: uncultured bacterium
Lineage: Bacteria
Description: partial 16S ribosomal RNA
Rfam family: Bacterial small subunit ribosomal RNA
Source: RNAcentral